Molecule: long non-coding RNA, 609 nt
Organism: Caretta caretta (loggerhead turtle)
Lineage: Eukaryota; Metazoa; Chordata; Testudines; Cheloniidae
Source: RefSeq, a predicted model, not a curated record
AGAGCUGAAGUAGCAUCCACCGCAUGGAAGAUAGUGAUGUCCUGCAACCAGCCCUGCUGCAAGCCGUUGAAAAAAACAGUUCACAGUUGCUGCUGGCAGUCACAGAGCGUCUGAAUUCUGUUGAGCACUGUUUCUGGUCCCGUGAAACAAGCAGUGACUGUGGGAUCACAUCGUUUUGCAGACCACAAAAUGAAGAUUGGUGACAUUGAGAUGCCUAUAGUUAUCCUGGGGGACCCAGCCUACCCCUUGCUCCCUUGAUUCAUGAAGCCAUACACCGGCCGUCUGGACAGCUGUAAGGAACAGUUCAAUUAUAGGCUCAGUGACCCUAUGUGAUAUCAGUCUCCUGAGGGUAACAGAGGAGGAAAGGAAGGAGAUGCUGCAAGCGUCUGGGUAUAGACCGGGUCCUUAUGCUGCUAUGCUGUGUACCGCAGUGAUGCCAGCAGAAUUAAUUCAGGAGUUGCGUGGGAAAGUGUCCUACCAUGGUGGAAGAAAUAAGAUUGCCCUGCCAAGAAACCUUCUGCAAAGGAUUGCAGAGUACCUCCAUGAAAGUUUCCUAGAGAUAUCCAUGGAGGAUUCCUGGGCUAUCCUAGUCCACAUAAACAGUCUUUU